AAAGCCUCAUGGUAUCACAUUAUUGCUAGACACCAAACACUUGUUUAUCCCAGGGAACAUGUCCCCGACCCACCCAUGUGGUGAACAUCUGCAAUAGAGAGAGAGAGAGAGAGCACAAAAAACCUAUAAUAAUCAAAUCACCCGCACGCUUUAUAAAACACAGUUGAACUUAUCAAAGCACACUUUUUAAACACACAGAACGGAAAUUAGCAGAGUUGUCACAUGCUUUUGUAACACACAUGAUGCAGCAACAACUCACAGGCACACAGUUUAUUCUCUCUGCCCUAUAGGUAAAAUUAUGAUCACGUGGGUUUAGUUGGGGGACCUUUCUGUCUCGUCUUCUUGCUCUUCAUUACAAUGCAUGUCAUUCGGUAGAUCGCAGAGCUGCCCGGCCUGUUGCAGAACAAAGUGGCACAACGCUGGAGGCACCCAAAUCUAAAUUCUAACUCGCAUAUAGACUCUAAAAACCCAUUCUAAGACAUCACUUCAAAAUGUGCGACAUUGGUGAUGUAGUAGUGGUGGGGUUCACUGUAUUCUGAAAUGAAAUCAUGUGUGACGAAGCACAUUUCAAGCGUUUUAUCUGGUGAGGAGCGGACAGGGUGGUUCGGAUGAAAAAACUGUGUGAGUGAGUGAGAAAGCAGAAAAAGAAUAAGUGUGUGGCGUGUAAGCAGAGGUGGUGAGGAGGCGAAUGUGGAUGAAGUGGGAGAUUGGCUCUGGGCAUACAACGGAAAAAGCGCAUGAAGGCGUAGAAAGUCAUUGUGAACGCAGAUGCUCUUGAACUGAACCCCAAAGACUGUCAGUGAUAAGCUCCACCCGCUCUAUUUAUAUGGACACAGAACGCUGUAACCUUCCACACAAAAUAGUUCCAAACAAGUAACAAUCGCGUCAGUGGCAUACAUCGUAUAACUGAAUGAUACAGAGAGAGAGAGAGAAGCACAGAUAACUUUGGUCUUGUCAGUGGAGCAAUAUGGCAACUUUUUAAAAGUAAACUUUCCAUUCAUAAACUCUUUAAGUAUCCGUUUUCGGUGUCUCGCGCUGCCAUGGCUGGCAAAACGGACAUGGGCGUGGACUUCUGCAGCUCGCUUGUUGUUUUGUUUCAGGUGUAUUUAUAGAGCAACGUAACAUCCGCUUGUGACGUGUGCCGCGUUAAUCUCGCGAGAAAAAAAUUUAAUUUGAAUUUUUAAAAUUCAUUAAAUUAAUGCCAAUAAAAACGCGCUAAACUGACAGCUCUCUCUCUCUCUCUCUCUCUCUCUCUCUCUCUCUCUCUCUCUCUCUCUCUCUCUCUCUCUCUCUCUAUAUAUAUAUAUAUAUAAAUAUAUAAUAUGUGUGUGUGUGUGUGUGUGUGUGUGUGUGUGUGCGAACGCUCCGGUGAGAGUUGGAGAGCCCUGUUUGAAGGAGCCAACAGCACCACAUCAUCUGCAAAAAGCAGGGAUGCAAUACUGUGGCCACCAAAACGGACCCUCUCAACGCUUCGACUGCGCCUAGAAAUUCUGUCCAAAAAGGUUAUGAACAGAAUCGGCGACAAAGGGCAGCCUUGGCGGAGUCCUACCCGCCAUACUAUAUAUAUAUAGAUAUAUAUAUGUAUAUAUACAAUACAAUACAAUACAUGCUGAUUUAUACAGCACUUUCACAACAGUGGGAGCUGUAACAAAGCGCUUAACAAAACAGUAACAUAAAGUAAAAUAAUAAACACAACACAUAACAUAAAACCUCGGAUAUAUAUUUAUAUAUAUAUACACACACAGACAUACACACGACUCUACGCAUGCUUUAGAAAUGGACAGCUUUAUAAAUGUAAUGCUGUAUUCACCCAAAACAACAUUGUCUGUACAUUCAGUGUAAAAUGUUUCAUUCAUCUUUGUCAAAAAGUGCUUAAUUUUUCCACGGUUGGGCAUUUAUUUGAGUAAUUUUUUAUUAGUGUACUGUAAGAAAUUGGCUGGCAAGCAGUUCAGUGUGUGUGUCUCGUAAGGAAAAAGCAGAUUCGAAAAUGGAUGGAUGGACGGAUACUUUCAGAGCAUUCUAAAGCAUUCAGGACUAGCUCCCUGAAGUCACAUGUAGAAAAUGCCAUUGGUUUUUUUUGUGUCUCUAUCUCAAUUAAAUAUGAAAUCCAGAAUAGGUUUCCCAGUGGUAACGUAAUCACUGGACACACAGAGUCCAUCCUUAAUGUUCAGUCCCCAUCGUUAAACAUCAUAACCUGGAUCCCAAUUACUGGUAGGUUUGGUGUAAGCACCCCACAUUAAUUAUGCCCUCUGAUGAGUUGAACUUGUGUGCUGCUGCUGCAAUAACAGAUCUACAUUGUGUUAAAUGUCAGCAUCAUUACAGACCAGCAUGUCCUGAUGUGUGUGUGUCUGUGUGUGUGUUGCCUGAUAUGACCAAAAAAAAAUAAACGAAUGGAGGUGCACAGAAAGGAUGGAGAGUGACUCUGUCACCGAUGCAGCCUACAGGCCAUCUUUCUUCAGUUUGACACUGCAGUGUCAUUACUGCAUUUCCAGAUGAGUGGCAGACUGAUGAGAGACAGGAGUGUGCAAAAAAGUGUGUUCCAAAUAUUGAUAAACAAAGCUAUUCAUGGUCAAAUAAAAAAUGGAUUUGUACGCAGUUGUGUCUUCAGAUCCAAAUGAGCAGACUCAGGAGAUUUUUGGCUCAAGCUGUUAGUUUUUUUGUUUGUUUUUUGUUUUACUUUGACUUGUGAACAAGAAUUUGAGAUAUGAGCUUUGUUGGCGGUGAACACUCUCAUUUCAACUCAUUUCACAACAAGCAAGAGUUUGGCAAACUGAACAAUUCUUCCAAAAGCAGUAUAGCAAACUAAGCAUGAAACAAAGAGGCUGAAACAUUGUGUGUUUUAAACCACUUCAUAACUUUUUACCGAAAAUGCGCUCGCUUAAUGCCAACCCAUAAUGGCAAGCACUGGAGACAGGCUGCAUCUAUAAGAUAAGAUAAGAUAAGAUAAGAUAAGAUAAGAUAAGAUAUCCUUUAUUAUAGCUCAGGACCAACCAAUUUUUCUGUGUUGUAAAGUGAAAAAGAAAACCGAAUGGACAUAUUAAAGUGGCAAAGUCAAACUGUCAAACGUUCUGCAUGUGAUUUAUAUCUUUAUUGUAAAUGUUAAGGGACACAAACUUAAAUAUUUUCUCGUAUCUCCAUUUGUGCAAUGAUGUUGAAACUAAAGUUGUGCGUGUGGAGAGACAAUAUAACAACAUUCACAAUCACAGGCAUCUGUUCUUUAUCCUCUGCACAGAAAAAUCACUUACAGUGGUUGAGAAAUUCUUCAUUAGUGUCUGCAUCACAUGUAUUACACUGACCCCCCCCCACCCCCCCCCAUUGGCAUUUUAAUGUGGUUUUUGUGAGUUGUUUUUUUUUGUGGAUCGGCAAAGCCAAAAUGCAAUUUAAAAAAAAUGCACACAAAGUACAUUUUUAUUUAUUAAAUUGUAAUGGACAUUUGCCCCAAUCAAAACAUUUAUGCUAUUCUCGGUUGUAGAUGCGAGAAAUAUGAUUAGUAGCUAGCGCAUGGCAUCAGGGAAAGGUGCUAAGAAGGGUGAGGUUAGGCCGAUAAGAGGUGAAAUAAAUACGAAGGGCGAGCAUCAAGUUUCAGGAGAGAGGCGGUGAGGAGGGUGUGAGAGUGGCUUGAACAAAUCUAAAAGCUUUCUAAGCAUAUAUAAAUGAGCUGAGGAACAAAGCUGAUUUCAGCUAAAGGAGGUUAUCAAUAUUUUUAUCAAUCUGCUUGAAGCCCACUGACGAAGUAAAAUCAGCAACAGAAAAAAAACAGAACAAUACAAAUGUGGCAUUUUAUGAUGCCAGUAGCUCAUGGUCUUAAACAGGUGCAAUUGCAUAUGGGGUUAAUAAUUGAAAAUGAUUUCAAAAAAGAAAAAAAUAUAGUUUGAAGAACUGGUUAAAAUAUGACAAGUGGCUUCAUAAAUACAAUAAUACAAUAGUGGUAAGCGGGAUGGGUCAUUUACAACUUAUAUUAAACUAGCUGGUUCGCCGUCCUCCGGGCGGCUCAUCAGCUAGUUCCUGCGGAAGGCUGGUAAGGUGGGCCUUCGGCCCACAAAAAGUGUUGUUUCUUGGUUCAACUUUUUGUUCAUCUUCAUUGCUUAUCGCGAAAAUAAAGAGAUGUUUAGCUCUACUAAAUAACUAACAAUUUCAUUGCAAUGCUUGUGGGUAGACAACAUUUUUUCGCAAAGAUGCCCGCGCGAUCGUAGUGAGCCACUGCCUGAGCGGCGCAGUGGCGGCGCGCAGUGGCGGCGCGCAGCGGCGCGGUGAAGUAGGUACGUUUUGAAAAGGGACAGACGGAAGGACACACCGCGUGCGGGACGACGCGCAAUAUAUAUAUAGAUAUUAGCCGCUACGGCAUUAAUUACUCACCCAUACAUUGUGAAUUAAAAAAUGAAAAUGUUCAGGAGCAUGUGCAUGGAUGGAAGGACAGAGCUGUGAAGCUGAUGUCUAAAUAAAAGUUUGACCAAGCGUGCAUUUGCUGAAUGAUGUCAUAAAGACCAUGUGUGAACUCAACCUUGACUGUCUUAAUCAGGUACGCACUGUAUGGAUGUUAUCAUUUUUAAGAACAUGGGGAAAAAAAUACCUUACCUACUUAUACACAAUAACAAACUUGAAAGCUGUGCUCUGGGGUUCAACCCAUAUAAAUGACAAUCAUAAACAACAACAACAACAUCUGUUGUUUUCGCAUACCAGUUCCUCCCCUGAAAAAGGAGGCCAGGCAGCAAAGAGUCCUCCAUCUUGUCUUCCCGCUCCAGUUGCCAUGACAAUGGUGCACAGUGCGCCUGUCCCCUGGGAGACACGAAAAAAAAAGAAGAGAAAAUUAGACGACUCGGAGAAGCGGGAAAACGACGUGCGGGAGGAGUGAAAUACGGUGACGGAUGUAGGGGGACAAGAUGAUCAAAUGUCGAGAGAAAGCGAGAGGGCAGCAACUUCAACGGAACAAGGACAAAUGUUAGCAGAUUUGUCUCAACAAAAGAGAACACGACUCAUGACGAAAACCUGCAAGUAGGACCGGUGUAUACAUAGGCUGUGCAGAGAGACAGUAAUGCCACUUCUUCUGAACCGCUCGCUGCUUCACCUUGAAAGAAGUGAGCUCCUACAGAAUGAGGAAUGGUGGCCACCUUAACUCACUCGACCCAACGCUUACACAAAUAGCACUUUGCAUAUUUUAUUCGACAUGCUAUUUUUUUUUCGGCUUGACUCCACGCCUUUGUUGUACGGUGAGAUGAGACACAAACGGCAAUGAGAAGGUGUGGUUGCAUAUGCAGCAUAUUUGCUUCUGACUCUAUUCCUGCAAUGAUUUUGUGAUUUUGCUGCUGGAGUCCUCCUUGACAACCACCUUCAAUUUAUUCACUGGAUUCUCCUUGUCAUUUGAAUAAUGAUGAACACACUUUUAAACCUCUGUGUUGGAAGGUUGCCUUGGCUCUAAGCAUUGUUCAUAGUUCAAGUUGUUCAUAGUAUUUAUGAAGUCAGUUAUUUAGAAAACAGAUAUCAGUACGUGCAACUCAACAAUAAAAAAACGAAUCAACUGAAAAUCACUCACGGAGUACCUCAGGGGUCAGUGCUUGGUCCAAAACUAUUCAUCUUAUAUAUAAAUGAUAUCUGCAAGGUCUCAAAACUAUUUAAAUAUGUCCUAUUUGCUGAUGACACAACUUUCUACUGUUCUGGAAUAAAUCUGAAACAGCUCCUGACAACCGUAGAAAACGAAUUAAACAAAUUAAAAAACUGGUUCGACAGAAAUAAAUUGUCACUUAACCUGAAAAAAUCAAAGUCAAUUGUUUUUGGCACAAGACCAAUCAAACACCAAGCUAAAAUUAUGGUAAACUCAAUUGAAAUAGAAAGAGCGUAUGAAACCAAGUUUCUCGGAUUAGUAAUAGACUCAAAACUAUGUUGGAAACCACAUAUCGGUAACGUAAAAAGAAAAAUAGCCAAGACCGUAGGGAUCCUCUACAAAACCAAGGAAGUGCUAAAUAAGAGAUCCUUGUACACAUUAUACACUUCAUUAUUAUUACCAUACAUGACCUACUGUGUGGAAAUAUGGGGAAAUGCCUGCAAACCAAACACACUCCCUAUUCUCAAACUACAAAAAAAAGCAAUUCGAAUUAUUAAUAGAUCAAAAUAUACGGAACCCACAAAUCCACUAUUUAUCAAAUUAAAUACGAUGAAAUUUUAUGACCUGGUUGACUUUAAAAUCGCCCAAUUAAUGUACAAAGCACACAAUAACCUUCUCUGCCAAAACAUUCAGAAAUUUUUUGAAAUUCGAGAAAGCAACUAUGAAUUAAGAGGUACCAACUUAUUCAAAAAACUCAAAACAAGAACAAACAUCAAGCAAAGAAGUGUAUCUAGCAAAGGUGUUAAUCUGUGGAAUAAUCUCGAAACGGACCUAAAAAUGAGUAAAUCGCUUGCUGAGUUCAAAAACAAAUUCAAAAAAAUAGUACAAACAACCUACACCAAUCAGAGUUAAAAUGAUAAAUUCUAAACAUUAAAUAUAAUGAUAAAUCAGAACUAAGUUGAUAAAUAGAGAAAGGUAUUGCAAUAUCCAUUAUGAAUACAAGAGAAAAUUGACACAAGAGUGCCAGGGUGAGGAUGUAUAUAAUCCCGAUACAAACCAAAAGUUGUGAAAAUAUCACGGUUAAGGGUAAAGUAUGAGCCUUAAUGGAGACUUCUUCUUACUUUUUCUUUUCUGAUUGAUAUAAAAAUGAUUUAGUACAUAUAAACACAUAAUGGGGUAGGACUAGAUAAGUUUUUUUACUUCAUCCUACUCCCUUGAACAUAAUAACUGUGUUGAAUGAAGACUGAUUUCUUUCUUUUACUUUUUUAUCUACCUUAUUUUCUGUCAAAUUAUUACUGUAUAUGUUUUAUGUUCAAUAAACAAACAAACCAACCAACCAAUCAUUAUUCGGAAAGUGCAUAAAGAAAAUGCUGGAAGCCCGCGGAAGAGAAAUGGGCGUUAAAAUCCCGUAAAAAAUGGUAAUAAUCCGAAACAUGAAAAAAAAUUGAAAAAGAGAAAUAAA
Hippocampus zosterae (dwarf seahorse) is the source of this 7001-nucleotide long non-coding RNA. RefSeq lists it as uncharacterized. The record is from RefSeq and is a predicted model, not a curated record. The transcript is spliced from 2 exons. Lineage: Eukaryota; Metazoa; Chordata; Actinopteri; Syngnathiformes; Syngnathidae.